UUUUAGCGACGGAAAUUUUGCCGCUAAUCCGUUGAUAACUAGAAUCCAAUUAAAAUCCGCAAAUCCCUAUCUUGUUUUCCCCCUCAUAAUCCUUAACCAAACCCCUUUCUCUCUCCCUCACCCUUGCCGCUCUCCUCUCGUCGUCGUCAUAGCCGUCGCGCUGUCAUCCCGUUGCCAGAAGACCGAUGUCGCCUUCGCACCGCCAUUCCACCGUCGCUCCUGCAGUUACUUGAAGUUAUAAGACUUGAAGGCCAUUCUCUUGCACAAGAAGAUGCCUUUUUAUCAAGGGGAAAUUCAUCUAUUGCAGAUAUGCGGUGGAAUUGAUGAGAGUGCUGUGGUAGCCUGUUUAGAACUUGUCUUUGCUCCAAUUGAUGAGAUGUUUCCAGAUGAUGCUCCACUGCUAACUUCUGGAUUCCGGGUUAUCCUAUGGGAUUAAAAACUAGUUAGGUUCUAACAAGAGUUGAAACCAUAUGUCGAACUUGCUGAGAAACUUGGGAGGCUGGCUGUCCAAUUGGUAGCAGGUGGAAGUGGUUUUAAAACAGUGAAAGUAUCAUACGUUUCCUCUAGAUCUCCUAAUGAGCUUGACACAAGGUUGCUCCGUUCGAUGAUCACCAAGGAUUUGGAACAUAUAUGUAUUUUUGCAUUUUCAUGUAAUUAGAAUUUAUAAAAUAUUAUUAUAUUUUUUAUAAAUGA
Long non-coding RNA from Durio zibethinus, 693 nucleotides. RefSeq lists it as uncharacterized. Lineage: Eukaryota; Viridiplantae; Streptophyta; Magnoliopsida; Malvales; Malvaceae. The record is from RefSeq and is a predicted model, not a curated record.